UACAGAGGUCUCAAGCGUUGUUCGGAUUCAUUGGGCGUAAAGGGUGCGUAGGCGGCGCGGUAAGUCGGAUGUGAAAUCUCGGAGCUUAACUCCGAAACUGCAUUCGAUACUGCCGUGCUUGAGGACUGGAGAGGAGACUGGAAUUUACGGUGUAGCGGUGAAAUGCGCAGAUAUCAGGAGGAACACCGGUGGCGAAGGCGGGUCUCUGGGCCGAUACUGACGCUGAGGAGCGAAAGCGUGGGGAGCGAACAGG
This 253-nucleotide ribosomal RNA is filed under the name uncultured bacterium. Its description in RNAcentral is "partial 16S ribosomal RNA". It matches the Rfam family "Bacterial small subunit ribosomal RNA", at positions 524 to 776 of the family's 1533-position model. The record is from RNAcentral.